Molecule: long non-coding RNA, 338 nt
Organism: Mya arenaria
Lineage: Eukaryota; Metazoa; Mollusca; Bivalvia; Myida; Myidae
Exons: 3
Source: RefSeq, a predicted model, not a curated record
UUGAUUAUCGGCUUGGCAUGUUUUCGAGGAGACAAUUUCAUUGGUCGACAUAUAUGUUACAGCGAUUGUGAUUGGUUCAGGCAUGGUUUGAUUCAGUCAGUCACGAAGUUUUGGAGCGAAAACACUGCGUUGUUAGAAACCUGUUUCUACAGAGUUGUUCGCUUUUGCAUAAGGUUUUGCAGAACAUAACUUAACCAGCACCGGAAGCGUGAGAUGUGAGGGUUUUCAGUACCACAUAUUGAUUACAUCUCUACAUUUAUUGAGUCUUGUUCUUCCUAUUCGUACAAUACCGUACCGUUAUAUCUGGCGCCCAACCUAACCGAACCUGGACAGACCCA